AGAUUGAACGCUGGCGGCAGGCCUAACACAUGCAAGUCGAGCGGUAGAGAGGUGCUUGCACCUCUUGAGAGCGGCGGACGGGUGAGUAAUGCCUAGGAAUCUGCCUAGUGGUGGGGGAUAACGUUCGGAAACGGCGCUAAUACCGCAUACGUCCUACGGGAGAAAGCGGGGGACCUUCGGGCCUCGCGCCAUUAGAUGAGCCUAGGUCGGAUUAGCUAGUUGGUGAGGUAAUGGCUCACCAAGGCGACGAUCCGUAACUGGUCUGAGAGGAUGAUCAGUCACACGUGGAACUGAGACACGGUCCAGACCUCGUACGGGAGGCAGCGAGUAGGGAAUAGUGAACAAGUGGGACGAAAGCCUAGACGUACCAGACCAGUCGGCCGACGU
RNAcentral lists this ribosomal RNA (387 nucleotides) under uncultured soil bacterium. RNAcentral's name for it is "bacterial SSU rRNA". It matches the Rfam family "Bacterial small subunit ribosomal RNA", at positions 26 to 411 of the family's 1533-position model. The record is from RNAcentral.